Molecule: ribosomal RNA, 226 nt
Filed under: uncultured Sphingobium sp.
Lineage: Bacteria; Pseudomonadati; Pseudomonadota; Alphaproteobacteria; Sphingomonadales; Sphingobiaceae
Description: partial 16S ribosomal RNA
Rfam family: Bacterial small subunit ribosomal RNA
Source: RNAcentral
UAGGGAAUAUUGGACAAUGGGCGAAAGCCUGAUCCAGCAAUGCCGCGUGAGUGAUGAAGGCCUUAGGGUUGUAAAGCUCUUUUACCCGAGAUGAUAAUGACAGUAUCGGGAGAAUAAGCUCCGGCUAACUCCGUGCCAGCAGCCGCGGUAAUACGGAGGGAGCUAGCGUUGUUCGGAAUUACUGGGCGUAAAGCGCACGUAGGCGGCGAUUUAAGUCAGAGGUGAA